RNAcentral lists this long non-coding RNA (699 nucleotides) under Cricetulus griseus (Chinese hamster). RNAcentral's name for it is "lncRNA (ENSCGRG00015042344.1)". The record is from RNAcentral. Lineage: Eukaryota; Metazoa; Chordata; Mammalia; Rodentia; Cricetidae.
GGACCCUCACUGAAGCUGGAGCAUGCCAAUUUUCAUCUAUGCUGUUACCCAGAAAACCCCAGUGAUCAUUGUGUCUUCAGCCUGACAGCUUUGGGGUUACAGCAGUGUGCACAGCUCCUUCUAGCACUAUGAAGGCUGGCAGGCAUGGAUCAAGCUUCCAGGACAGUACUAGCUUUAGCUCUCCAUGUUCCAUGAUUCAAUUAUGUGGCAUCUUUAGCAACAGAGCCAUACUGUAAUUUUCUGGAGGGUAGCCAACAACAUCAACAAUAGCCUGUUUGGGAAUCUACGGGACCCUACAGCCAACAAGCCUAAUAAAGAUAAAAUGGAAAAUGCAAAUCAAAGAGGACAUCUGGGAUGGCGAGAUGCUCAGUGGAUAAAGAACUUGCUAAGCAAACCUGAGAACCUGAGUUUGAGCUCCCAAAUCCCUGUGUAAAGCUGGGCAUGGUGGUGUGUCUUUGUAACCUUACCGCUGGAAAAGUGGAGACAGGAGAAUUCCUGAGGAUUUGUUGUCAGCCAACCGAGCCUAAUGGGCAAGCCCCAAAUCCCAGUGAGAAACUCUGCUCAAAAUUCAAGAUGCACGACACCUGAGGAAUGAUGCCUGAGGUGCUGGCCUCUGACCUCUGGUCUCCACACACAGGUACCACACUUGCAUACACAUACAUCACCCCACAUGGAGAAACACACACACACACACACACA